UAUGGAAGCUUGCUUCCACUGAGAAGAUAGUGGCGAACGGGUGAGUAACACGUGGGUAACCUGCCCAUAAGAGGGGGAGUAACAUCCGGAAACGGGUGCUAAUACCGCAUAGUUUUCUUGAUCGCAUGAUUGAGAAAGGAAAGACGGCCUUUGUGCUGUCGCUUAUGGAUGGACCCGCGGCGUAUUAGUUAGUUGGUGAGGUAACGGCUCACCAAGACGAUGAUACGUAGCCGACCUGAGAGGGUGAUCGGCCACAUUGGGACUGAGACACGGCCCAAACUCCUACGGGAGGCAGCAGUAGGGAAUCUUCCGCAAUGGACGAAAGUCUGACGGAGCAACGCCGCGUGAGUGAAGAAAAGGUUUUUCGGAUCGUAAAACUCUGUUGUCAGAGAAGAACAAGUUGGAGAGUAACUGCUCCAGCCUUGACGGUAUCUGACCAGAAAGCCACGGCUAACUACGUGCCAGCAGCCGC
Molecule: ribosomal RNA, 472 nt
Filed under: uncultured bacterium
Lineage: Bacteria
Description: bacterial SSU rRNA
Rfam family: Bacterial small subunit ribosomal RNA
Source: RNAcentral